GCAUAUCAAUAAGCGGAGGAAAAGAAACUAACAAGGAUUCCCCUAGUAACGGCGAGUGAAGCGGGAAGAGCUCAAAUUUGUAAUCUGGCACUUUCAGUGUCCGAGUUGUAAUCUCGAGAAGUGUUUUCCGCGCCAGACCGCAUACAAGUCUGUUGGAAUACAGCGUCAUAGUGGUGAGAACCCCGUAACUGAUGCGGAUGCCUGGUGCUCUGUGAUACACUUUCGAAGAGUCGAGUUGUUUGGGAAUGCAGCUCAAAUUGGGUGGUAAAUUCCAUCUAAAGCUAAAUAUUGGCGAGAGACCGAUAGCGAACAAGUACCGUGAGGGAAAGAUGAAAAGCACUUUGGAAAGAGAGUUAACAGUACGUGAAAUUGUUGGAAGGGAAACGCUUGAAGUCAGACUUGCUAUUUGGAAUUCAGCCGCAAGGUGUACUUUUCAAUUCGCAGGCCAGCAUCAGUUUUUGGGGGUGGAAAAGGGUAGUGAGAAGGUAGCAACUCCGGUUGUGUUAUAGCUCAUUACUGGAUUCAUCCUUGGGGACUGAGGAACGCAGCACGCUUUUUGCAAGGCUCUCGAGCUUUUCGUGCUUAGGAUGCUGGUGGAAUGGCUUUAAACGACCCGUCUUGAAACACGGAC
This 631-nucleotide ribosomal RNA is filed under the name Microbotryomycetidae sp. CSDX3-Y8. Its description in RNAcentral is "LSU rRNA". It matches the Rfam family "Eukaryotic large subunit ribosomal RNA", at positions 38 to 666 of the family's 3401-position model. Lineage: Eukaryota; Fungi; Basidiomycota; Microbotryomycetes. The record is from RNAcentral.